UUGCUUUAUUCGUCAGCACAAAAGCAGUUCAAUAAAGAAAAGGAAGAAAAGAGAGACAAGACUGUGAGCAAAACUCCAAAGGUUGAAAAAAAUUCAGCACAACCAACUCCAUUAUUUACUUCAAUUUCACUAAGGAAACAGAAGCUCUUCCAUAGGAGAGAUGAAUACAAUGUUCACAUUAGAAAGGUCGACUCACUUUAGUUUCUAUUAUCUAACUUCCUAUGAUUACAGCAUCAAUAAUCCCUUGGUAUAAUGUUCAUAUGCAUUCAUUUUCUGUCAUCUUCAAUUAACCAAUUUUGGUCUCUGUGUACAAAAAUGUUCAAGCUGAUAUUUUUGCAGUCCACCCAGUGGAUAUUUUAGCACUAUUCUAGUCAUAUAAAAAAGAAUCAAAUAUCAAGACCUGAAAACACUGACAUCAAGACCCAGCUGAACUUUCAGAGUUGCUCCACCAAAAGCUAACUGAGAAACUAAUUGUUAGAGAUCGGACGUAGUGCCACCAUUUUGGUGGGAUGUAAAGCAUUUCACCUUCUUCUAAAAUGCAGUCUACGAAUUCCAAGUCAUGCACUUUCGGAAAUUCUUUCUCAUCUAUGUUGUCCAGAUCAAUCUUCAAAAAGAAUUUGUAAACAUGGAAAUACAGUCUUCACCAUAGAAGAAAAAAAAAUCAUCUAUAUAGUGGCUAUUGAUAUUUGGAUAGAGAGAGUUGCAAAAGAUGUUGCAUGCAUAAAUUGUUGGAGAUUUAUUGCACUAGCACGAAAUUCAUGACAAGGAUAAGAAAAGGAAAAUUCAUCCAGAUGGUUCGAAAAAUGAAAGAAAUUUUCAAGAAAGCAUUUACCUGGCUGGAAUUGCAAAGCAUGGUUUCACCGUGUGGAUACAGUUCUUCAGAUAAUGAAGCAGGGUAAAGCCUAAUAUACUUUUUCCCAACAACCUGAAAAUAACAAAGCGAUAAUUGUCGACGCAAGCAAUAUGCUCACAAAUCUAUCCUAUACAACAAAUUACCUUGAUACAAUCUACACAAGCAAACACCAACAUGGUAAAUUAGAAAAAUUGAAAGACGCAUGCCAUAAUCAAAGCGUAAAAAUGAUUUAUGGAGAUAGAUAAGCUACUAAAAUCUCUUCAAAGUCAAACUGAAAAGAUAGACGGUUUGGGAGAACAGGGACAAAACCAACAUCAGUAUCUUUGUCAAACAAGCAGAUUAAAUGUAUCUAUUAUAAAUUCAACUUUUAGACUAAAAACAGGGGAAAGUUUAGUAACACUCUUUCAACUACCACAUAAAUUAGGGUGUUUGCUUGAUUACCAAUGCACCACACUUUUUUACAUAAAUUCAUCAAUAUGGAACUGCUAUACGAGUACCAUUACUCCAAUAAUGAGCUCAGGAAGGAAAAGAAUAAAAUUCUAACAGCAGAAAUACUGAAAAGAGUAGUAACAAAAUCUUGUCAAAGAUCCAUGGUCAAGAACAUGCUCAAAUGAACUAUCAUUAUUCACAUAUUUCAUACCUGAGCAAGUAUGUUAUGGUGUGGAUCAUGGUGCAAUGGUGUAACUGUCCCAGCAGGACCAAACCAAGCAUUAAGAGACCUAAGCUCCCCACCACCAACAAAACAGUAGUCAGGAAUGCAAAUGUCAUUCCUCAGCUUAUUUAUCUGAUCAAACAAUGGAUGCUGAGCAAGAUAGGUGGGGCCAUCAGAAGAAGUUCCGUUGGACUGAAUCCUCUCAAGAAACUGGGAAAUUGUUAUAAGUUCUUGUUUCCAGUCUUGGCAUAAAUAGUUUUUCCCAACCUGCAAAUAAUUAGAAAAUUCCCAAUCCCUUCUUGUCGAAUAACACAUACAAAUAUGCAACACCAUCACCACCACCCCUCUUAUCCGCACAAAAACAAUUUAAAUAUAUGCAUAGUCAAGCAUCAGAUAGUCAGCAUCUCAAUUACUCGUAUCUGUCCUUGUGCUGACUGCUUGGUUAGCAUUACAAAUGCAUAGCUUGCUAGAGGAAACAAGUUUUAUUGAAAACGAAGUAACAAAACUUCUAUGUAAUGUUCUGCUAUUCAGUUUGUGGUAACUUAAAAGGUAAUCAUGUUAUAGCCAGAAAAAUAGAUCAGUGUAAUGGAUGCAUAGUUGAUCAUAUUCAAAAUUUUAUUUGAGUUCUUAUUUCAAAUUGUACAAUUUAAAAUCUAUACUUGUAAAUGAGAAAGGAAAAUUCAUUCUCAAACCAAAUUUUAAAAACCAAAAAGUGCAUUCCAAAUUACAUCUUUAUAGUAGAUUUUUAAAUUCACGAUCAAACAAAGCGAUCAUUUUUAUUCAUGAAUCUUGUUUAUAUUCAAUGAAUCUACUCAACAAAAUAUAUAUUAUGUAUUAUAAAUUCCAAACUUGCACAUAAGAUUCAAACCAUUAAUUCCAAACACAGCCUAAAUGUAAAGUGAAACGCAAACAUUUAAUAAAAUUUCAUCCUAAGAGCUGGAAAAAAAAUCACCUCAACUGGAACCGUGCGGUCACCAGCAACCCUUUUGAGGUAAUCCAUGUCAUUCCACUUUUUCCUCAACUGGAACCGUGCGGUCACCAGCAACCCUUUUGAGGUAAUCCAUGUCAUUCCACUUUUUCCUGGCAGGCCAAUGAGUCAUAAAAUCACUAAUUAUAACUGGAGAACCACAUAAGAAAUGUUCACGUAGAAA
RNAcentral lists this unclassified non-coding RNA (2656 nucleotides) under Hevea brasiliensis (rubber tree). The record is from RNAcentral. Lineage: Eukaryota; Viridiplantae; Streptophyta; Magnoliopsida; Malpighiales; Euphorbiaceae.